Xyrichtys novacula (pearly razorfish) is the source of this 2073-nucleotide non-coding RNA. Lineage: Eukaryota; Metazoa; Chordata; Actinopteri; Labriformes; Labridae. The record is from the annotation of a GenBank genome assembly.
UUCUAGUUUGUCCCUGCUCCCUUUCUUGUGAAUGAUUGUGACUAACCCUGUUGUCAUUCUAGCUGGCAUCUGACCCUUCUCUUCUAUCUCCCUAAAUAAUCUCUCUAACACAGGCACUAAUUCUUCCCUAAACUCCAUGUAAAACUCCCCUAUGAUCCCAUCUAUCCCUGGACUCUUGUUCCUCCCUAACCCUGCUAUGGCUGCCUCUAUCUCUCCUGUCCCUAUCUGUCCCUCACACAUCUCCCUCUGCUCUUCACUCAGUCUGCCUUUCACCAGCUCUAGCACCUGCUCUAAGCUGCACUCAUCUAUCUCUUCUUUCCUAAAUAGUUCCCUAUAAAAUUCCUCCACUCUUCCUGCUAUCCCUACAAAGUCUGUGAUCUUCUCCCCCCCCUUUCCUUCUACCUGCUCUAAAUAGUUCUUCCUCUGCUUCACCUUCUCUAGGCCUAAAAAAAACCCAGUUGCUCUCUCUCCCUCCAUGACGUAUCUGGCCCUGCUCCUAACUAUUGCUCCUGCACAUCUCUUCUGUUCUAUCUCCUUCAGUUCUUGUUUCAGUCUCAUAAACUCCCCUAUAUCUCUCCCUUCCUCCCUGCCUACUCUCUCUGCUUCUGUUUGCAUUUCUCCUUUAAGUCUCCUCUCUCUCUCUCUCUCUAUCCUAUUCCUAAUCCUACCAUAUCUUAUACUGAUUUUCUUUAUUUCCUCUUUAAGCUCCUCCCACCACUUCCCGAUGUCCUGCACAUACAUGCUGUGAUUCAUUCUCUUUCGUACACAUUCUCUCACUCUGUCCUUGUAUUUCUCCUCUUUCAGCAUUGCUCCGUUCAUACACCACACUCCACCCCUUCUCCUCUCGUGCCCCUGCCCUAAACUGAACCUUAGCGCCCUGUGAUCACUGAGUGUUGUUGUUUGAUAUUCUAUGUUGCCUAUUUUCCAAGCUAUGUCCCUCGUGCUCAGUAUUAGGUCAAUCCUGCUUUGUUUUAACACCCCCUUCACCACCUGUGUUCUUGUAAAUUCCCUCUCCUCUGGGUUUCUUUCUCUCCACACAUCAAUCAUCUCAUUCACUCUCAUCAUUUCUUUGAAUACUCCCCUGGACAUGUCACUCCUGUAAUUCAUAUUCUCAGAUGCAUCCAGUCUUCCACACCACACAUUGAAAUCUCCGACAAUCAGACAGUCUUUCCCGCUCAUUCUUCCCAUUCUCUCAAAAAACUCUUUCCUCUCUUUCUCCUCAUUUGGUGCAUACACGUUCAAUAGUUUAUACUCUUUCCCCUCGUGCUCAAACGUGAUCCCAAUCACUCUCCCCUCACCAUCAUCCACACACUUUCUCACAUUCUCAACCGCUCCCCUCUUCACUAGAAUUGCCACCCCUCUUGUUUUAUCUCCCCCAUUAUUGUUGUACAUUUCACCCAACCAUUCUCUCUUUACUACAUUCACACACCAUUCAUCCCAGUGAGUUUCUUGUAAGCAUAUGAUAUGGGCAUCGCAGGUCAUUAUGGCUGCAUGUCUCCUUGCUUUACACCGGAGUCCAUUUGCAUUAAAGGAGGAGAUAGUUAUCAUUAAGGUAAAAAGAAAAAAAGAAGGCCCGAAAUAAGUCGAAGAUGAACCAAUCUGUCGUUGUUGGUGUUUUGUUUUGUUUUGUUCUGAACAUACUUUUCAUGUUUUCUUUAAUUUCCCAAAAACUGCUUCCCUUCUUCCUCUCUGCCUUUUUCUAUUUUUAACCAUAUCUUCCAUGUCCUCCAAGUCAUCCCCUGACUCCCCUGUUUCCCCACUGUCGUAUUCCCCUCCUCCCCCCGCCUUAAUGUCCCUCUCCCCAGUGUCCUCACCUCCUCCCCCCAUUGUCUCUGCUUCUCCUCCUUUCACCAGCUCCUCCCCUCCUCUCUCCUCCCGACAGCAUGGCCCAAGAGGCUCUGUCUUUGCGCCCCCAGUCUGUUCCCUCUCUUCUUCUGCGUUGGUUGUGCUCCGCCGACACUCCUCCUCUCUCCUCUCCGUCUGCUCUCCUCCCUCCUCUUCUCCCUCGCCCUCGCCUCCUCCGUCCUCUUCUCCUCCCUCCUCGACUCCUCUGUCCUCGUCUCCUCCCUCCUC